This is an RNA transcript of Schistocerca gregaria, 2405 nucleotides long. RefSeq lists it as uncharacterized. Lineage: Eukaryota; Metazoa; Arthropoda; Insecta; Orthoptera; Acrididae. The record is from RefSeq and is a predicted model, not a curated record. The transcript is spliced from 3 exons.
GUCGCCACCAGACUGCGCGACUCGUAACUCUUCGGCUGUCUUCGGUGAGCUUCGCGAGCGGAGCCCAGGACGCCGUUUGUCAGUAAUCAAUAGUGAUAGCCCGCUAUGUAAUGACACACGUCGGGCAUAAUUCGACAGUGAAAUAUGGAGGUGUGGCUCUAAUCCAUAUCUCUUCUUUCUGUCUGAAGUAAAUGUCCAAGCAGUAGCUGCAAGGGCAGAACUCGAAGAGGAACACCAGAUGGGAAGAGCAUUUUGGGAAAAUCAGACUGCCUGGCAGGACAAAUUCCAACAGCUAGAGGAACAGUUUUCUACUUACCGAGAAAAAAAGGACAAGUUACAGGAACUUCCACAGUUGUGUGAGCAACUGAGGGAUGAAAUGUUCUAUCUUGAGCCCCAGAAGCAGAUAUCAGAAUUCUCAGACCAUCACAAAAUAGCAGAGGGGCAAAUAGUUGGCACAAGCCAUCCACGGUGGCUUCUCAUGGAGGAAGCACAGCUGGCCGACAUGGUUGUCACAGGUGCAAGCACUGUACUACAUUAUAUUUCAUCAUCAUAUUUUAAGUGUUGUAACGGAUGAUGUAUUUAUAAUAGUUGAAGGUGAUACUUGUUGAUCUUGUAUCCCUUCUUUUGCUACAAAAAUGAGGCCACACAACACAAUGUGAUUUAUUUAGGUUUUCAUUGGGUAAUCAAGUAAAACUGUAUCUUGCAGUUUGAAGGCCUGUAAAUUGUAUCCGAUAGUGCAUAUAAUUUCCAGCCUUCGUGCAUGCUACAGCGUGCUACUUGAUAUUAUGAAUCUGAUUACAGCAUUACAAUUUUCUAUAUGACAGGGAAGACUACACACAAUUGUGGGAGGAAGCACUAGCAUUUGUGUGGAAACAGUAUGUAAAAUAAACAAGAAAAACAUUAUUUUACUCCCUGUCAUUAUCCAAAUUGAAGUUAGGACAGUUGUCGGUGUUGCAACAACUCUACUUCUCAAGUUACAUUUUUUUUUUAAAUGCUAUGAUAAAAGCUUACUCUUGUAUAUUUAUUGAUCAGCUGUUGCUGUUCAAGCACUAGUAGCUGGAAAGGACAUGCUUAUUAUGAUACGAUGUAUAUCUAAAUACAAGUGUUAAAAAAAAAUAUUAAAUGUUGCAAAGAUCUAGAUUGUUGGUUGAGAUUUGUUGUAAAUGGAGGAAGUGUUAAUCAUUUUUGUAACAAAUCACCAUCAUUAUACAAAUAUACAGUUACCUAACUUUGAGUAAUUAUUUAUUUGUUUUCUGCAUGGACAAAUACAAGGAUUUGUUUUGCAUAGUUUACAUAUUGGUCAUUUCCCCUUAUAACAUUGUGGGGAAACAAUUAUAUACAAUAGGCCUACAGAUAAAAAAUUAUGUUCCUUUUUUUGGGUACAUGUAAAUACUAUUUAUACAAAUGAAAGUAUUCUAUUCCUCUUAGAGGAAUUCCUUAAUACUACAUAGCACACUGGACGACGGUUCAAUUCUGCGUCCGGCCAUCCUGAUUUAGGUUUUCCAUGAUUUACAUAAAUCUCCCCAGGCCAAUGCCGGGAUGGUUCCUUUGAAAGGGCACGGCCGACUUCCUUCCCCGUCCUUCCCUAAUCCGAUGACCUCGCAGUUUGGUCUCUUUCCCCAAACAACCCAACUCUUUCAAAGCAGCUCCCACUUAUGCUUUUUAAUUUUUUGAAAUUUGUUAUAAAAUUUGAUCCCAAUGUAAUAGGGGCUCUUGUCAGCACUUUUUGUAUUUCUUUCUUUCCAGGUGAUAAUCAUGGUAGCUCCUAGUAUUGUACAUGUGCACUUCUCUAUUUAGAUGAUUGUACUGCUUGUAUUUUAGCAUCAGCUGAACAGUUUUAUAAAUAUAUAGUGAUGGUGGUGUUAGUAGUUUCUUAAUUUUGAAAUUGGCUUUGUAGGUCUCAUUUGAUCUAAGAUUACACUGAAAUUAUGUCUCCAUAGGCACAGAGAAAAAUAUAAACUAUGAAAACUGCACUUCAUGACCAUUCAGUUGGGCUGUCAGUAGCAAGUGCUGAAUUUUUUGAGAAUGUAGGCAUGUUGUCCCCUUUAACUUUGUUUCCUAUUGGAGUACAGAAUGCAAAACAUUUAGACUCUGUCUAGUUUAUAUUAAGGAUUGUUAAUGUGCUUUGAAGUAAGGAUGUAUAAGCCCAUUGUAUUUGUGUAUUGAUGUAGUAAUUUAUAUCUCCACUGAAAUAGGGUUUACCACAUCAGAAAUAUUAUGUAAUGUGCACAUAAAGAUAAAUUGGUUACAGGUAGUUCUGUUAAGGAUUGUGUAGUAUAGUUCUAUUAAUACUGGAGUUAAUUUUAAAAAAGAAAUUGUUUUUAUCUCACGUGUAAAUAUGAUAGCCUGGGUGUUUUGUACUUGUGAAAAUUUUAGGAAAAAUAAAACGUUGUUGUAAGUUUGCA